AUGCAAUUAAGUCAUCGUUUCGCCUUCAUUUUUUGAAAUGAAAAUGGGUGAAAUAAUAUUUUUGAAAAAUAAAUGGUUAAAAAAGAAGGUAAAAUUUUCGAUUUACAUGUAAUAAUAUUUUUUGGAAGAUUGUGUAAUUGAAAAUAAAAGAGAGAAAAAUGAAAUAUAAUUUAAUGGGAGCCAAAUAGAAGCUAAAUUGUGGAUGCUAAUAACAAAAGUUAUUACCUUGUGCUUUUAUCAACUCCAAUUAUUGUUCAUUAAAAUGCCAAUUCUAGCCCCAUGAAUAAAAUCAUUUCAUUUUCAAUCCUAAAUCUUUGGUAUUCUAUGUUGAACUUUACUACAUAUACACUAUAGUAUACACUUUGAUUUACACUUUAUCCUAUUGGACAGUUUAAAUUUCAAACAGUUUUUUCUUCCAAUUGACACUUGACAACAAUGUAAGUGUCAACUAAAGUAUUAAAAAUCAGUGUACAAAUAGCAAAGUUUUUUUACGUUUAUUGGUAUUUAAAAUUAUAAAGCACCGCUCAUCAUUCAAGUUAUAAACAUUUUUGCGUUUUCUAUUUUUCCCUGGUCAUUACAUCAAAUUUCCAUUUUUUAAAAUUUACAAAUAUUGAGAUUAAAUAGAUAUUGAUUUUUCCCAUUUCAAUAAUUAUGGUGAAUAUCUCAAAGUAAAAAUAAAUUUUAUAAUAAUAAUACUUAAAGAUACUGAUGCUACCAAAAGUGGCAUCUGGCGGAUCCCGAGGAUGACGACUGAAGAUGAUACGAACAAAGCCUUCCAAAUACCUGAAACAAAGGCAACGAUGUGUGUGCUCGCCGCCCCUCCGAUGCUUAAGUCAGAAAAGGGAUGCCAAGAUGAAUAUAUGCUGAAAAAUUG
Molecule: long non-coding RNA, 874 nt
Filed under: Olea europaea subsp. europaea
Lineage: Eukaryota; Viridiplantae; Streptophyta; Magnoliopsida; Lamiales; Oleaceae
Source: RNAcentral